CGAAAGCCUGACGGAGCAAUACCGCGUGAGGGAGGAAGGCUCUUGGGUUGUAAACCUCAAAACUUAGGGAAGAAAAAAAUGACGGUACCUAAUCUAAGCAUCGGCUAACUCCGUGCCAGCAGCCGCGGUAAUACGGAGGAUGCAAGCGUUAUCCGGAAUCAUUGGGCGUAAAGCGUCCGCAGGUGGCUCAUCAAGUCUGCUGUUAAAGACUGGAGCUCAACUCCGGAAAGGCAGUGGAAACUGAGAAACUAGAGUUCGGUAGGGGUAGCGGGAAUUCCCAGUGUAGCGGUGAAAUGCGUAGAUAUUGGGAAGAACAUCGGUGGCGAAAGCGCGCUACUGGGCCGAAACUGACACUGAGGGACGAAAGCUAGGGUAGCG
This 378-nucleotide ribosomal RNA is filed under the name uncultured cyanobacterium. Its description in RNAcentral is "bacterial SSU rRNA". It matches the Rfam family "Bacterial small subunit ribosomal RNA", at positions 376 to 770 of the family's 1533-position model. Lineage: Bacteria; Bacillati; Cyanobacteriota. The record is from RNAcentral.